CUUUUCUCCCCCUCCUUUUCUCCUUCUCCUUAUGGUUUGAGAAACCCACCACAAUUUCUUGUCCUUUAGAGAACUACUCUCUCAACCGAUGACCCCUCCCCAACCGGGAAGGGGAACUGGGGGAAAAACAAGGACCCAGGAGGACACUGGGGAGCUACAUUGCGGUUCUGUGAUGGUGACUUGGAGCACUGCAGCCACACUGGAGUCCGUGCCAUGGGCGCUCUGAUGCCUUGUCUCCCCUGGGCCCUCUCCUCCUGAUUGUGAUGGGGCUCAGGGUAUUCUCAUCUGUGCUGUGGAGGAAGCUGCUUCAGAAGUGAAGGAGAAGAAGAAGCGUCAGGCAAGCAAGACAAGAGCCCAGCCGGAGAAGCAGAGCGCUUCUCAGCCAGUGGAUGGAGAAGUGGAGAAAUCCUGGCCCAAGCAGGAGAAGCGGGCGAGUGCGGAGGCCUUGAGCCGGAAGCCCCUCUCCCCACGGGCCCCGCUGGCCACCAUGGACUCCAUGACAGACAGAGGCUCCUCUUCCUCAGCUUCCUUUACCCUUCCCGGAGGCCUGUCCUGGUGGGAUGGCGGAACUGGCAGCACUCAACUGCUCAGGACCCCGCCAUCCCCCCAGGGCUGUGAAGGGGAGGGUGCAGGAGCCAGGGCCAGCCCUCUGCGAGGAGCCCCCACAGGAACUGCCAACAAGGACCACGCAAGAGGUCUACUUGACCUCUUGCACAUUUUCAAGGCGUGGGGGGAGAGGCAGCAGCGCGGCGAGCCCAUGGCCAGACUGCCAUGG
Chroicocephalus ridibundus (black-headed gull) is the source of this 775-nucleotide long non-coding RNA. RefSeq lists it as uncharacterized. The transcript is spliced from 4 exons. NCBI's taxonomy places the organism in Eukaryota, Metazoa, Chordata, Aves, Charadriiformes, Laridae. The record is from RefSeq and is a predicted model, not a curated record.